GAGGGCGGGAGGGCACUAACACAGGAAGCACCUCUAGUGACCGUCUGAGUGACUGUCACUAGCAGUGUCACUUUGAAGCAAUGUAAACACUGCCUUUUGUCUGAAAAGUCAGUGUUUACGUUGAAAAGCCUGUAGGGACAUGCUAUAGACACCAGUACCACCACAUUAAGCUGUGUGUGUGUGUGUAUCAAUGAGCUUGUGUGUGUCACUGAAAUGUCAGUGAAAUUGCCUGUGUCUGCAUGUGCGUAUGCUUACUGUAUAAUUAAACGUUUUACCCUGAAAGGACC
Non-coding RNA from Pelobates cultripes (western spadefoot toad), 287 nucleotides. The record is from the annotation of a GenBank genome assembly. NCBI's taxonomy places the organism in Eukaryota, Metazoa, Chordata, Amphibia, Anura, Pelobatidae.